CGCCUCUUGAUUAAAUAUAAGAGGUCCAGCCUGCCCAGUGACAAAGUUUAACGGCCGCGGUACCCUAACCGUGCGAAGGUAGCAUAAUCACUUGCUCUUUAAAUGGGGGCUAGUAUCAAAGGCAUCACGAGGGUUACGCUGUCUCCUUUCUCUAAUCAAUGAACCUGAUCUCUUCGUGAAGAAGCGAAGAUAAUAAUAUAAGACGAGAAGACCCCAUGGAGCUUCAAAUUAAGCCUACAUCCAAACAGGUAAUUAGACCCAUUUAACCCGUUAGAACUGUAUGCUAGUUUUAGGCUGGGGCGACCGUGGAGAACAGCAAAACCUCUAUGACGAACGGAUUAACACCCUAAUACAAGAGCUACUCCUCUAAUAAUCAACACAUUGACGUAAGUUGACCCGACAAUCGAUCAACAGACCAAGUUACCCUGGGGAUAACAGCGCAAUCUACUUCGAGAGCCCAUAUCGACAAGUAGGUUUACGACCUCGAUGUUGGAUCAGGGUAUCCCAGUGGUGCAGCCGCUACUGAAGGUUCGUUUGUUCAACGAUUAAAACCCU
RNAcentral lists this ribosomal RNA (555 nucleotides) under Staurois guttatus (black-spotted rock frog). Its description in RNAcentral is "partial 16S ribosomal RNA". It matches the Rfam family "Bacterial large subunit ribosomal RNA", at positions 1832 to 2597 of the family's 2925-position model. The record is from RNAcentral. Lineage: Eukaryota; Metazoa; Chordata; Amphibia; Anura; Ranidae.